UUCCGACGUUGCGUUGCUUGAUCGACUUUGCCAGAAGCACCUUCAUUGAUACAAAAAGAUGAUGGCAGCAAAACUCUAAAACAAUUUCGAACACUUGCUCGGGGAUAAAUGCUGCAGGGGUUCACUAUGAUCGUUCUGCUAUGUAGCUUUUCUCUGCUCUUCGAGUUUUUUUACACCAAUCUGAAGCAACAAAAUCAACGGCAGCUGCAGCUCCGCAUCAACUACGCGUCAGGUUUUCCGCAGUCAUCAUAUCUGAUGGUAAAAUGGUUAAAUCUAAUAAUGCUAGUCAUGGCCACUCAACAUCAAAAAGUGGUUGGAAAGCCCAUUGUUCAGAUUUAGAACGCGAUUUAAAAGAUUUCACAUGAAGUCUGAUGUAUCUAAGAGAAUCUGUAAUCGUUUUCAGAUGCUUCUGUUCAAAUGUAUCUGUAAUCUGCAUCACCCUAGGAGCUCUCUCUCAUCAACAUCAUUUAUCAAGCCUAGUGUAGUUUUUAGUGCCUAGUGAGUUUUUCAUUCAAAUAUCGGGAUUACAUACAAUUGGAUAUAAACAGAGAUAGCUAUAGGAAUACAUUGGUAUUAAUUUUAUAUAAGAGCGGAUGCGCCAAAAAGGUUUUCAGUAAAUCGCGUUUUAAGUAUGACAGCUCUAUUACCCAGCAAAAAUAUUAUUUUAUUUCCUCAAUACUUACUCAUUCAACCAUCCGGCUCCGGCAACGUUAGGAGACCUACUUUUUAAUUCAACACGCUUGUCAGUAGGUCUUUCACUUAGCUAACAACUCGAUUUUUUUUUACAUUUGGCGCAUUACCAAUUUUGAAUGAAAUUUAAAUAGAAAAAUGAUUUUUAAAAUGUUAAU
This is a long non-coding RNA of Uranotaenia lowii, 848 nucleotides long. RefSeq lists it as uncharacterized. The record is from RefSeq and is a predicted model, not a curated record. The transcript is spliced from 3 exons. Lineage: Eukaryota; Metazoa; Arthropoda; Insecta; Diptera; Culicidae.